This 347-nucleotide unclassified non-coding RNA is filed under the name soil metagenome. Its description in RNAcentral is "partial contains 5.8S ribosomal RNA, internal transcribed spacer 2, and large subunit ribosomal RNA". The stretch from base 1 to 120 matches the Rfam family "5.8S ribosomal RNA", at positions 35 to 154 of the family's 154-position model. The record is from RNAcentral.
GAUGAAGAACGCAGCGAAAUGCGAUAAGUAGUGUGAAUUGCAGACUUUAGUGAAUCAUCGAAUCUUUGAACGCACAUUGCGCCCGCCAGUAUUCUGGCGGGCAUGCCUGUCUGAGCGUCAUUUCAACCCUCAUGCCCCUAGGGCGUGGUGUUGGGGAUCGGCCAAAGCCCGCGAGGGACGGCCGGCCCCUAAAUCUAGUGGCGGACCCGUCGUGGCCUCCUCUGCGAAGUAGUGAUAUUCCGCAUCGGAGAGCGAUGAGCCCCUGCCGUUAAACCCCCAACUUUCCAAGGUUGACCUCAGAUCAGGUAGGAAUACCCGCUGAACUUAAGCAUAUCAAUAAGCGGGGA